GGAGUUGUGGCUCAGUGGCAGAGCGCUUGCUUAGCAUGCGUGAGGCACUGGGUUCGAUCCCCCAGCACCA
RNAcentral lists this transfer RNA (70 nucleotides) under Ictidomys tridecemlineatus (thirteen-lined ground squirrel). RNAcentral's name for it is "Spermophilus tridecemlineatus (thirteen-lined ground squirrel) tRNA". It matches the Rfam family "tRNA". From Rfam's summary of the family: Transfer RNA (tRNA) molecules are approximately 80 nucleotides in length. Their secondary structure includes four short double-helical elements and three loops (D, anti-codon, and T loops). Further hydrogen bonds mediate the characteristic L-shaped molecular structure. tRNAs have two regions of fundamental functional importance: the anti-codon, which is responsible for specific mRNA codon recognition, and the 3' end, to which the tRNAs corresponding amino acid is attached (by aminoacyl-tRNA synthetases). tRNAs cope with the degeneracy of the genetic code in two manners: having more than one tRNA (with a specific anti-codon) for a particular amino acid; and 'wobble' base-pairing, i.e. permitting non-standard base-pairing at the 3rd anti-codon position. Lineage: Eukaryota; Metazoa; Chordata; Mammalia; Rodentia; Sciuridae. The record is from Rfam by way of RNAcentral.